GCCCGGGUAGCUCAGUUGGUAGAGCAGAUGAUUGAAAAUCAUCGUGUCGGUGGUUCGAUUCCGCCCCCGGGCACCA
RNAcentral lists this transfer RNA (76 nucleotides) under Gammaproteobacteria bacterium. RNAcentral describes it as "tRNA-Phe". It matches the Rfam family "tRNA". Rfam says of the family: Transfer RNA (tRNA) molecules are approximately 80 nucleotides in length. Their secondary structure includes four short double-helical elements and three loops (D, anti-codon, and T loops). Lineage: Bacteria; Pseudomonadati; Pseudomonadota; Gammaproteobacteria. The record is from RNAcentral. RNAcentral also lists the same sequence under 1 other name.